UGAGGAAUAUUGGUCAAUGGGCGCUAGCCUGAACCAGCCAAGUAGCGUGCAGGACGACGGCCCUAUGGGUUGUAAACUGCUUUUAUGCGGGGAUAAAGUCACCCACGUGUGGGUGUUUGCAGGUACCGCAUGAAUAAGGACCGGCUAAUUCCGUGCCAGCAGCCGCGGUAAUACGGAAGGUCCGGGCGUUAUCCGGAUUUAUUGGGUUUAAAGGGAGUGUAGGCGGCCUGUUAAGCGUGUUGUGAAAUGUAGAUGCUCAACAUCUGAACUGCAGCGCGAACUGGCUGGCUUGAGUACACGCAACGUGGGCGGAAUUCAUGGUGUAGCGGUGAAAUGCUUAGAUAUCAUGAGGAACUCCUAUUGCGAAGGCAGCUCACGGGAGUGUCACUGACGCUUAAGCUCGAAGGUGCGGGUAUCAAACAGG
Molecule: ribosomal RNA, 424 nt
Filed under: uncultured Prevotella sp.
Lineage: Bacteria; Pseudomonadati; Bacteroidota; Bacteroidia; Bacteroidales; Prevotellaceae
Description: bacterial SSU rRNA
Rfam family: Bacterial small subunit ribosomal RNA
Source: RNAcentral